Molecule: ribosomal RNA, 329 nt
Filed under: Aparallactus capensis
Lineage: Eukaryota; Metazoa; Chordata; Lepidosauria; Squamata; Lamprophiidae
Description: partial 12S ribosomal RNA
Source: RNAcentral
UAAAAACUUAAAAUUUAAAAGACUUGACGGUACUUCACACCAACCUAGAGGAGCCUGUCCCACAACCGAUAACCCACGAUUAACCCAACCUUUUCUAGCCAACAGUCUAUAUACCGCCGUCGCCAGCUUACCUUAUGAAAGAAACAAAGUGAGCCAAAUAAUACCACACUAAUACGACAGGUCAAGGUGUAACUAAUGAAUAGGACAAGAUGGGCUACAUUUUCUUAACCAGAACAAACAGACAAAUUUAUGAAAUUAAAAAUUGAAGGUGGAUUUAGCAGUAAGUUGAAAAUAAAAUGUUCAGCUGAAGCCAAUGCAAUGAAGCGCGC